AUACGGAGGGUGCAAGCGUUAAUCGGAAUUACUGGGCGUAAAGCGCACGCAGGCGGUCUGUCAAGUCGGAUGUGAAAUCCCCGGGCUCAACCUGGGAACUGCAUCCGAAACUGGCAGGCUUGAGUCUCGUAGAGGGGGGUAGAAUUCCAGGUGUAGCGGUGAAAUGCGUAGAGAUCUGGAGGAAUACCGGUGGCGAAGGCGGCCCCCUGGACGAAGACUGACGCUCAGGUGCGAAAGCGUGGGGAGCAAACAGGAUUAGAUACCCUGGUAGUCCACGCCGUAAACGAUGUCGACUUGGAGGUUGUGCCCUUGAGGCGUGGCUUCCGGAGCUAACGCGUUAAGUCGACCGCCUGGGGAGUACGGCCGCAAGGUUAAA
This 376-nucleotide ribosomal RNA is filed under the name uncultured Klebsiella sp. RNAcentral's name for it is "bacterial SSU rRNA". It matches the Rfam family "Bacterial small subunit ribosomal RNA", at positions 523 to 898 of the family's 1533-position model. Lineage: Bacteria; Pseudomonadati; Pseudomonadota; Gammaproteobacteria; Enterobacterales; Enterobacteriaceae. The record is from RNAcentral.